Molecule: long non-coding RNA, 385 nt
Organism: Haliaeetus leucocephalus (bald eagle)
Lineage: Eukaryota; Metazoa; Chordata; Aves; Accipitriformes; Accipitridae
Exons: 3
Source: RefSeq, a predicted model, not a curated record
CCGAAAUAUUCAAGAUAACAUUAUGAUAAUAUCUUUAACUUCUAGAUCAAGUAAGCCUUUCCUUCUAGUUCCAGGAAUUCUCCAAACUGUCACAAAUCUCCAUCAAGAUGAUUUUAUUCUUAAGUUAAGGAAGCCUACAGGAAGCUAAAAAACUAAGGUUCAGUACAAUAGUGGCAUUAAAGCAGCUUUUAUACGUACCAGUGAAAUCUUCAAAACAAGUUGCUGCCAGAAGAGAUAAGGCUGCAUACCACAGCGACAAGAAAAAUAGUAGGAUUGGCUGCAGAAAAGCAAUCUCCCCUAUGCACGUUCAACGAUGAGGACUAGAUCCUAUAAAGAGCAGAAAAACAGAGGAAGACAACUAAACCUCACAACUAUAUACAAGCCC